Molecule: transfer RNA, 73 nt
Filed under: Trichonephila inaurata madagascariensis
Lineage: Eukaryota; Metazoa; Arthropoda; Arachnida; Araneae; Nephilidae
Rfam family: tRNA
About the family: Transfer RNA (tRNA) molecules are approximately 80 nucleotides in length. Their secondary structure includes four short double-helical elements and three loops (D, anti-codon, and T loops). Further hydrogen bonds mediate the characteristic L-shaped molecular structure. tRNAs have two regions of fundamental functional importance: the anti-codon, which is responsible for specific mRNA codon recognition, and the 3' end, to which the tRNAs corresponding amino acid is attached (by aminoacyl-tRNA synthetases). tRNAs cope with the degeneracy of the genetic code in two manners: having more than one tRNA (with a specific anti-codon) for a particular amino acid; and 'wobble' base-pairing, i.e. permitting non-standard base-pairing at the 3rd anti-codon position.
Source: Rfam by way of RNAcentral
GUCCUAGUAGCGCAAUGGAUAGCCCAUUGGACUUCUAAUCCAAAGGUCAUGGGUUCAAAUCCCACCUGAGAUU